RNAcentral lists this ribosomal RNA (511 nucleotides) under uncultured bacterium. RNAcentral describes it as "partial 16S ribosomal RNA". It matches the Rfam family "Bacterial small subunit ribosomal RNA", at positions 1 to 497 of the family's 1533-position model. The record is from RNAcentral.
UUUAGAGUUUGAUCCCUGGCUCAGAACGAACGCUGGCGGCGCGUCUUAAACAUGCAAGUCGGACGGGAUCUUCGGUGCUUGCACCGAAGUGAGAGUGGCGAACGGGUGAGUAACGCGUGGGUGAUCUGCCUUUUGGAUUGGGACAACUUCGGGAAACCGGAGCUAAUACCGAAUGUGAUUGCAUUUUUAAAUGUAUGUAAUUAAAGAUGGGGAUCUUCUAGACCUAUCACCAAAAGAUGAGCCUGCGUCCCAUUAGCUUGUUGGUAUGGUAAUGGCUUACCAAGGCGACGAUGGGUAGCCGGCCUGAGAGGGUGAACGGCCACAUUGGGACUGAGAUACGGCCCAGACUCCUACGGGAGGCAGCAGUUAAGAAUCUUGGACAAUGGACGCAAGUCUGAUCCAGCGACGCCGCGUGAAUGAUGAAUGUCUUCGGAUUGUAAAGUUCACUAAGCAGAGACGAAUAAGCAAGAGGUAAUAUUUCUUGUGAUGACGGAUCUGCCUAAAGCUCGCA